GAUGAACGCUGGCGGCGUGCCUAAUACAUGCAAGUCGAGCGAACAGAUGAGGAGCUUGCUCCUCUGACGUUAGCGGCGGACGCGUGAGUAACACGUGGAUAACCUACCUAUAAGACUGGGAUAACUUCGGGAAACCGGAGCUAAUACCGGAUAAUAUAUUGAACCGCAUGGUUCAAUAGUGAAAGACGGUUUUGCUGUCACUUAUAGAUGGAUCCGCGCCGCAUUAGCUAGUUGGUAAGGUAACGGCUUACCAAGGCAACGAUGCGUAGCCGACCUGAGAGGGUGAUCGGCCACACUGGAACUGAGACACGGUCCAGACUCCUACGGGAGGCAGCAGUAGGGAAUCUUCCGCAAAGGGCGAAAGCCUGACGGAGCAACGCCGCGUGAGUGAUGAAGGUCUUCGGAUCGUAAAACUCUGUUAUUAGGGAAGAACAAAUGUGUAAGUAACUAUGCACGUCUUGACGGUACCUAAUCAGAAAGCCACGGCUAACUACGUG
RNAcentral lists this ribosomal RNA (497 nucleotides) under uncultured bacterium. RNAcentral describes it as "partial 16S ribosomal RNA". It matches the Rfam family "Bacterial small subunit ribosomal RNA", at positions 28 to 507 of the family's 1533-position model. The record is from RNAcentral.